Molecule: ribosomal RNA, 506 nt
Filed under: uncultured bacterium
Lineage: Bacteria
Description: partial 16S ribosomal RNA
Rfam family: Bacterial small subunit ribosomal RNA
Source: RNAcentral
AUUGAACGCUGGCGGCAGGCCUAACACAUGCAAGUCGGACGGUAGCACAGAGGAGCUUGCUCCUUGGGUGACGAGUGGCGGACGGGUGAGUAAUGUCUGGGGAUCUGCCCGAUAGAGGGGGAUAACCACUGGAAACGGUGGCUAAUACCGCAUAACGUCGCAAGACCAAAGAGGGGGACCUGCGGGCCUCCCACUAUCGGAUGAACCCAGAUGGGAUUAGCUAGUAGGCGGGGUAAUGGCCAACCUAGGCGACGAUCCCUAGCUGGGCUGAGAGGAUGACCAGCCACACUGGAACUGAGACACGGUCCAGACUCCUACGGGAGGCAGCAGUGGGGAAUAUUGCACAAUGGGCGCAAGCCUGAUGCAGCCAUGCCGCGUGUAUGAAGAAGGCCUUCGGGUUGUAAAGUACUUUCAGCGGGGAGGAAGGCGAUGCGGUUAAUAACCGCAUCGAUUGACGUUACCCGCAGAAGAAGCACCGGCUAACUCCGUGCCAGCAGCCGCCGUAA